AUUUAUUGUCUUUAGUUUUAUUACACUUGAAUGCACAAUAUAGGCAAACAAACUUGAGCUUACUUCAGUUCAUCUUAGUCACACCAACUUUUUGUUUUGCCACUUUUCAGCUUUUCUUAUUCUUAAUUACAGUAGUUUUUUUAGCAGACAUCUGUACUAAAUUGAACCUAUCAAAUGUAACUGAUUUGUUGUUGUAUAAAGAGACUGUAUUGAAGUUGCAUCGCCACUUGCAUGUCCGUUUCCUGUAGACAUGUGCUUCAUAUUAUGAUUGAUUAAUGCAAGUGUUAAUGCUGAUGUGCUAAAUACAGAUGUUGACUUCAUUUGUCAGGCUAAAACACAAGAAACGGGCGCUGAUACACUGUCAUCAGAGGAGGUACCUCAGAGCCCUUCCCUCUCCCAUAUGCAGAGUUUACAAGAAGCAGGAGUCUUUCAUUCAAUGAAAACUAUAAAAUCAGAACCGCUUGUGAACUACACUGAUUCUGAUGAUGAGAGUCCAUCCAUAAGUCCUGACCAAUUGAAGUCAACAUGCCAGAAAAUGCACACGAGGACAGUGACAAUGAGGCAGCAAGUGAGUCAGAGCCACAAGGUAAGGAUUUUAUUUUAUUUUUUCUUUGUUUCUUUAUCCACCACCACCACAAUGUCUGGUUGGUUUGCCAUUCUCUCUGUCUGUAUCUGGAAGUCCCUCAGGAUCUUGGCUCGCUCGUUCUCUACCACCUGGGAGGUGUUUCCCACUUUGACCUUGGGGUUUCCAGUCCAUACUCUGCACAGAUGUUCCUGUAUACUAUGCCAGCCACUUGGUUGUGGCGUUCCGUGUAUGCUUUCCCUGCCAGCAUCUUACACCCUGCAGUUAUGUGCUGGAUCGUCUCAGGGGCCUCUUUGCACAGUCUACACCUUGGGUCUUGUCUGGUGUGGUAGAUCUGGGCCUCUAUGGCUCUGGUGCUUAGGGCCUGCUCCUGUGCAGCCAGAAUAAAUGCCUCUGUGCUGUCCUUCAGCCCAGCCCUUUCAAGCCGUUGGUAGGAUUUGUUGAGAUCAGCCACUUCAGUUAUGUUCCGGUGGUACAUCCCGUGUAAGGGCUUGUCCUCCCAUAAUGGUCCCUCUUCCAGCAUCUCAUCCUCUGUUCUCCACUGCCUGAGACAUUCACUCAGCACGUCAUCUGUUGGGGCCUUAUCCUUGAUGUACUUAUGGAUCUUGGAUGUUUCAUCCUGGAUAGUGGCUCUCACGCUCACUAGUACUCGACCUCCUUCCUUGCGGCUAGCGUAUAGUCUCAGGGUGCUGGAUUUGGGGUGGAACCCUCCAUGCAUGGUGAGGAGCUUUCGUGUCUUAACAUCUGUGGUCUGUAUCUCUUCCUUUGGCCACCUUACUAUUCCCGCAGGGUAUCUGAUCACUGGCAGGGUGUAGCUGUUUAUUGCCCGCGAUUUGUUCUUGCAAUUGAGCUGGCUUCUUAGGACUUGCCUUACUCUUUGGAGGUAUUUGGUAUUUGGCUGUUGCCGCAUGCCUUGUUGCCUGUUCAAGGUUGCUGUUUGCCUGUUUAUAUUCCAAAGUACUUAAUUGUAAUUGUCCUCAAUGUCUGCUAUUGUUCCUUCUGGGAGUGACCCCUUCUGUGUGGAUUACCUUGCCCCUCUUUGUCACCAUCCUCCCACAUUUCUCGAGUCCGAAUGAUAUCCCAAUAUCCGAGCUGUAGAUUCUGGUGGUGUGGAUCAGCGAAUCAAUGUCUCGCUCACUUUUUGCGUACAGCUUGAUGUCAUCCAUGUAAAGGAGGUGACUUAUGGUGGCUCCGUUCCGAAGUCGGUAUCCGUAGCCAGUCUUGUUUAUUAUUUGGCUGAGGGGGUUCAGACCUAUGCAGAACAGCAGUGGGGACAGUGCAUCUCCUUGGUAUAUGCCACAUUUGAUGGAUACUUGGGCAAGUGGCUUUCCAUUGGCUUCAAGGGUGGUUCUCCACUACCUCAUUGAGUUUGCAAUGAAGGCCCUUAGAGUUCUAUUGUUGUUGUUGUACAGCUUGAAGCAUUCAGUGAUCCAUGUGUGUGGCAUUGAAUCAUAGGCUUUUUUGUAGUCAAUCCAGGCUGUGCACAGGUUGGUGUGUCGCACUCUGCAGUCUUGGGUGACUGUUCUGUCAACCAGGAGGUUGACAACGGGAACUCAUUGGUUCAGUGAUUGUUGUGGUAGGGAUCGCUCCCAAUGCUGCAUUCACAUCUUCUAUGAGACUUUCUGAUGGUACUUCACUUGUCGUUGUAGUUUUCUUCGGGGUUGCCUGCUCAAUCUCGCAUAUGAAUGAAAACUGCCUGAAAACUUUAUCCAAUGCGCUGAGUGACAAGUUGAUUACUGUAGCUCCAUGUUAAAAAGUAGUUAUUCCAGAAUAGCAGUUCAGGGUGCUCAGAAAAGACAAGGACACUGCAAGCUAAAGUAGAGUGGAAGCAGAGGAAAAACGUCUGCACUCCUCAAGAAGCGGAAGGAAAUAAAAUUAUUCAUAUCCCUGGCA
Molecule: long non-coding RNA, 2476 nt
Organism: Betta splendens (Siamese fighting fish)
Lineage: Eukaryota; Metazoa; Chordata; Actinopteri; Anabantiformes; Osphronemidae
Source: Ensembl